UACGUAGGGAGCAAGCGUUGUCCGGAAUUAUUGGGCGUAAAGAGCUCGUAGGCGGUCUGUCGCGUCGGCUGUGAAAUCCCGAGGCUCAACCUCGGGUCUGCAGUCGAUACGGGCAAACUGGAGUGUUGCAGGGGAGACUGGAAUUCCUGGUGUAGCGGUGAAAUGCGCAGAUAUCAGGAGGAACACCGGUGGCGAAGGCGGGUCUCUGGGCAACAACUGACGCUGAGGAGCGAAAGCGUGGGGAGCGAACAGG
This 253-nucleotide ribosomal RNA is filed under the name uncultured bacterium. RNAcentral's name for it is "partial 16S ribosomal RNA". It matches the Rfam family "Bacterial small subunit ribosomal RNA", at positions 524 to 776 of the family's 1533-position model. The record is from RNAcentral.